GGCCGGGAACUCAAAGGAGACUGCCAGUGAUAAACUGGAGGAAGGUGGGGAUGACGUCAAGUCAUCAUGGCCCUUACGACCAGGGCUACACACGUGCUACAAUGGCAUAUACAAAGAGAAGCGACCUCGCGAGAGCAAGCGGACCUCAUAAAGUAUGUCGUAGUCCGGAUUGGAGUCUGCAACUCGACUCCAUGAAGUCGGAAUCGCUAGUAAUCGUAGAUCAGAAUGCUACGGUGAAUACGUUCCCGGGCCUUGUACACACCGCCCGUCACACCAUGGGAGUGGGUUGCAAAAGAAGUAGGUAGCUUAACCUUCGGGAGGGCGCUUACCACUUUGUGAUUCAUGACUGGGGUGAAGUCGUAACAAGGUAACCGUAGGGGAACCUGCGGUUGGAUCACCUCCUUACCUUAAAG
RNAcentral lists this ribosomal RNA (413 nucleotides) under Klebsiella pneumoniae. RNAcentral describes it as "bacterial SSU rRNA". It matches the Rfam family "Bacterial small subunit ribosomal RNA", at positions 1129 to 1533 of the family's 1533-position model. Lineage: Bacteria; Pseudomonadati; Pseudomonadota; Gammaproteobacteria; Enterobacterales; Enterobacteriaceae. The record is from RNAcentral.